RNAcentral lists this transfer RNA (84 nucleotides) under Lachnospiraceae bacterium NK3A20. Its description in RNAcentral is "rumen bacterium NK3A20 tRNA". It matches the Rfam family "tRNA". Rfam says of the family: Transfer RNA (tRNA) molecules are approximately 80 nucleotides in length. Their secondary structure includes four short double-helical elements and three loops (D, anti-codon, and T loops). Further hydrogen bonds mediate the characteristic L-shaped molecular structure. tRNAs have two regions of fundamental functional importance: the anti-codon, which is responsible for specific mRNA codon recognition, and the 3' end, to which the tRNAs corresponding amino acid is attached (by aminoacyl-tRNA synthetases). tRNAs cope with the degeneracy of the genetic code in two manners: having more than one tRNA (with a specific anti-codon) for a particular amino acid; and 'wobble' base-pairing, i.e. permitting non-standard base-pairing at the 3rd anti-codon position. The record is from Rfam by way of RNAcentral. Lineage: Bacteria; Bacillati; Bacillota; Clostridia; Lachnospirales; Lachnospiraceae.
GCCGCCAUGGCGGAACUGGUAGACGCGCGGGACUUAAAAUCCCGUUCCCCAACAGGAGUGCGGGUUCGAUUCCCGCUGGCGGCA